RNAcentral lists this transfer RNA (59 nucleotides) under Lampropeltis extenuata (short-tailed snake). RNAcentral's name for it is "tRNA-Ser". The record is from RNAcentral. Lineage: Eukaryota; Metazoa; Chordata; Lepidosauria; Squamata; Colubridae.
CCGAGGGCGCCAUAAGAACUGCUAACUCUUCAAUCUGGGACUAAUAAACCAGCCCCCUC